RNAcentral lists this long non-coding RNA (3173 nucleotides) under Triticum aestivum (bread wheat). RNAcentral describes it as "long non-coding RNA (TAES_LNC012184)". Lineage: Eukaryota; Viridiplantae; Streptophyta; Magnoliopsida; Poales; Poaceae. The record is from RNAcentral.
CAACAGCUUGCUUCAGGGGCUGCAGGCCGUGAACGGCGUUGUGCUUGCGCGCGAGACCCGUGUCUGAUUUGGAAAGAAUCAAUCCGGUGAAGAAGAAGGCCAAUGCAAUUGCUCUCUAGCUAGGCAUUGGAGUAUCUGCACCCCCAAUGGAACGCUACGAAUUGCUGCUGGUACUGAACAUUGACAGGUAAAACUUAGCAUAUCCAGAAGGGAAAUACAUCAUUAUAAGCUACUUCCAUAGAUGCAUCUAGAUCAUAGCAUCUGAACUUGAGGAUAGCAGACAAAAAUUCAAACAGAAAGCAAGCUACGCUCCAUAUUGUGUUCCGGGAAAAGUAUAUUUUUCGUCCCUCGAUUAUUUCAAAAGUAUAGAAAUGGUUUCUCAACUUCAAAACCAGCAAAACUUAGUCCCUUAAUUUUUUAAACUGGAUAAGUUUAGUCCCUCGUGCAACUUUGGGUGGUUUUCUGCCGAUCUUUGAGCGGUUUUUGACUCGGAUUGGCAAAGUGUGGGCCCCACCACCUCUACCCAUUUUUUAAAUUUUAAUUCCGGUUAUUUAUCCCUCUAACUUACCUAUGGACCCCACUGUAAUGAGCAUCGUCAACCUCAAACAGCACACGGUUCGUGUGUCGGCACCCUGGAUGCCGGUGCUCUGAAGCUCGCCGAUGACCAAGCCUGGCUCCGGAGGCGGCACGCGGCAGCAUGCACUCCCUCGCCACGGCUCUAUUUCUUGCUUGAGCUCUUGCGCUCAACGCUCCUUGUGGCUGAACGCGCGCACGGCCGUCGGAGGAACUUGCACGCGACGCGCUCCACCAGGAGUUGAUGGGCUGCUGCGCAUUGAGUAGCUCUAGGAUUUGUGCUUGUGUGUGUGUGCUACCGUUCGCGCUGAGUGUGCGUGCUCCGUUCUGGGUUGACGUUGCUGCUCUUGUCUGUGUGCGUGAUUUGCGUGAUGCGCUCGGUGUGAGAGGGCGACGAUGUGGUCGCCCGUGAUUGCUGGGCGUUGUGAUGACGGGACUCAUGAACUCGCGGGUGGCGGCAGCGAACGUGCAACGACGGUGCGGGCCGACGGGAUGGCUGUAGGCCGGGUUCCUGAUGCAGAGAAGGUGCAGGAUGCCGAGGCAUGGCGAGGUCAGCAGGGUUGGGACAGAGUUUUGCGUGCAGUCAGCAGGCGCAGACGCACGCGACAGCUUGGCCUCCGCAUACAUGCGAGCUCGUACAACAGCAAGGCCAGGGCGGAGCUGUGCGUGCGGCCAGCGGGCCGGACACAUGCGGCGGCAGCCUUCACGUCAACCCCGUGGGCGGCGCGCUGCGGGAAGCGCCGGAGCGGCCUUACGGAGGUCUCCAAGGACUAGAGCCACCUCGCCGGAGGCCUCCAUGCCCACGCCAUUCUCCUGCUGCUGGACGCGCAUCAACUGCUUGAUGAAAUGCCUAGCCAAGUUCGAAUGAUAAGCAACGAGAAGAUCCACCUGGGAUCGCCACGUGGACGUAGACCCGGUCAAAACCACACAAAGCAGCACAGAGGGACUAAAAUUAUCUGGUUUGAAAAAUUGAGGGACUAAAAUUAUCUGGUUUGAGAAAUUAAGGGACUAUGGUUUGCUGGUUUUGAAGUUGAGGGACCAUUUCUAUACUUUCGAAAUAAUUAAGGGACCAAAAAUAUACUUUUCCCUUAUAUCCCAUAUCGAAUAACAGGUUCAUAUUUGAUUGGUUUCUUCACAGCAGCGCAUGGAAGAUAAAAUAUCUCUGUUUUGAUAUAUUUCUAUGCCACUGUUUUUGAAUUUUUUUCAUCCAUAAAUCAUGCGACUCAAGUCAAUUUGAGAUCGAAUUUGUUCAUGAGGUCAAGACUGAACCUUGCGACAGCUCCAGGUUAACAUACAUCCAUACUGAAUUUUCUUGGCUAAUUGUAAAUAUUGUUCUAUGUAUUUUUGUGACAGCAACGUGAGGUUUUUAAUUGGUAUUGUGCUUGAAACAAAGUUGGAUGAUGCAUAUUUCCUACAAUCAUUUUGAAAGGUUUGCCCCCUUUAUAGGUUAUAAGGUAGGUCCCGAAUUCUUGCCAGAUAUUGUAUGAACGCCUAUUCAGAGUAUUUCGCCCUUGAUUGCAAAGAUAUUUUCUUACAGAUAACCUUUGACUUCUCGAUGAACUCUGUACUGUCAGUAUUUGUGCACAAUGCACAUUCUGAAACUUACAACUAUUAGUGAUCAAUGAGACAAGAGUACUUGAUCCUCGAUCCUUAAACUAUCAUCUUACUCAUAACCAUGUACUACUCGGUGAACCCUAUAUAUCUAUCAGUAGUUGGAAGCACUACAAAGCAGUGUCAAAUUCAGUAUUAUAUGUACAUGAGUUUGCUGAUUUCAGGCAAGCAACAACAAACAGACUUUGCUGUUUUCAGUCUAUUGAGAUAUUUGUUGGGCAUCACCGAGGAACGCCAGCAAAGGCGUGAAGAAAUACUCGCAAUCAGGUAUAUAUUUCAGUGGUCUUAAUCGCACAAACCUUCAGUAUAGUUACGGUAUCAUCCCACCUUUAUGUUUUGCGACCAUUAGACAUCCAAAGGUCGAGCUAUGCGUCGUGUGCCAUCUGAGUCAACUGCUUCUCACUUGUAAUCCAUCUGAUUGAACAAUUGAUCGACCAUCUCUCAUCGACCCAUGCAUGCAGCGAUGGAUUUACUCUGAAUUUUUUCAUGUCCUGGAACAUUAACUGGAUUGAUUCAUGGAUGCAGUGUGACAUGUCGUGUGAGAUGAAGGUGGCAAACCAUCCAAACUUGAAGCCAAGCAUGUGGUGGAUCCGCCAUGGAUGAUGGAUGGACCGGUGAGUGUAGAAGUUUGAGCUGUGAAACUUUGUGCGAUCGAGCUCCUGGUGUAAUUAAGCAUAUGGCUUUUGUGAUGUGUUAUGUAGGUAGUGAUUGCCUAUAUUUCUUUCCCUCUUAAAUUUGUUGUAAUAAGGUUGUCCUUUGCAGAAGGAAGAUUGAACCGCCUUUUGGUUUAGGUAGAAGCACCCAUUGAUGUUUUCCAGUUCUUUGUAUUCAUUCUAUUAUGUGCUAUAAUAGUUAAUUGCAUAUAUAUGUACUAUGUUUGGAUAUUCUCACGCAACAUCUAUGUACAACAGAUGCAGAUUUUCAGAAUAUUUAACCAAAAACCUUUGCCUGCACUGUUCAGAAUAUGAAGCCAUAUUAUAACAAAGUUU